GGUGGAUUAAUUAAAGGGGGGGUGGAUUAAUUAGAGGGGGGUGGAUUAAUUAGACAGUAUGGUAUUUUGAUCCCCAGACAAGAUGAGUGCAAAGAGAAAGAGCUGUACAUACUGGUAACGUAAAUAAAUAAGCCCUACCCUGAAAAUAAGCCCUAGUGUGUUUUUUGUGACUAAAAUUAAUAUAAGACCUGGUCUUAUUUUCGGAGAAACACGGUAACAGCAAAUUAUUUUCACAAACCUAUUAAUAUGGAAUGUUUACGUAUUUUUUAUUUUCUGCAUCUACUUUGUUUUCUAUAAUUUUCUUCUGUUUCUUUUCUAGUUAUUCUGAACUGGUUAGAAGGAUAAUGAGGUGGUGUUUUGUCUCCAAGUGCCAGCCAUGCCUCUUUUUUAAUUUGGGGGGUUAAUAUUUGGAAAUGUCUCUAAUAAAGGUUUACUGUAUAUAGUACAUUUCUCACAUUCUAAAUUAAGUAAGAAGCUUGUUUUCUAUGUCACUGUUUUAAGAAGUCACACAGAUAAGGGAAUAUAAAGAGAAACAGAGAACAAUAUCCAAUAAUAAUCAUUGUCCUCACAUACAAGAUUUAAAAAAAAUACUGUAAAGGGGGCACUGCCGGUACUGGUUAAUUUUUCAUAAAAAGAUACUGUAAGACAAAAUAUGACUAAUUUGCAUAGGCAUCACUAGGGAGGGUCUGGGGGCUAAAUCCUUACUUUAGCCCCAGAUCUCUACAGUUGGUGGUGGGGACAGGAGGAUAUUGGCGGGGGCUUUUUCAAUUUUAUCCCGCUUAAUAUAAAAUAAAAAAUCUGUAAUAUAGUGGUCUGUUAGGAGAGGGUGGUAAAGAACAAAUCUUUGCUUCACACCCCUCUGUUAGUUAGGUAGUCUGUCAGGCUUACAUUAAUAUUGCUGAGAUCCAGCACACUGCUCAUGGGCAGAGAGGAGGGUUGUAACAUAAAAAGGUGGGGAUGUCAUACCAUGUCCCCCCUCUAUUAUUAUGGCCAUUUAUAUAGCGCCAACAGAUUCCGUAGUGCUUUACAAUUUAUUAUAAGAGGGGGGAUUUAACUAUAAAUAGGACAAUUUCAAGAAAAAUUACAGGAACGAAGAGGACCCUGCUCAAACGAGCUUACAGUGUGUCGUCAAGUUGUCCUUUGGGCUGAAGCCCCAGGUGUUUCUGGAACCUAUCAACACCCAUGCUACUUUGUCUUAUAUGCACAUCUAUUUUUGGCAGAAUGUGUCAAAAGGUAAUUCUCUUAUGCUUGCCACAUCUUCAAAAUCUCCUCAGCCAUGUUGAGUCUUCUUUCACAAUGCUCAGCAGAUGUUUAUGGCUUCUCGUGACUUCUCAUUGUGUAAGUGCAAUAUAAUCUGUGGAGGUUUCUGUAGGUCCAAGUGGUCUCAUCUUCCAAGAGUGGAAGACUGAGAUUAGGGCAAGGAGGGAUGAUUUUAGGGAAGUAUACCUCCCUUCCCACUCUGUCCCUGAGGGAGGGGGUGGGGGGGGGGGUUAGGAAUUCAAUAUUGAAUAAUAGUUGACCACCUCUUUUAAAAUGUAGGCCAAUGCUGUUAGAUGUUGAAGACAAAUCCCCAAUUUCAAAGCCACAUUCCUUGACCUAAAUUUGGCAAAAUGUUUUUUUAACAUGUCUUUGUUCAGGAACUGAGCCCCUUACUGUUAAGAAAUGACUGCUCAAGUGACUUUUAUCCAUUCUAUACAUGCUAUUAUAUACUAUUAAGGACAGUCACUAUAUAUGUGUGUGUGUUUUCACUUUCAAUGUAUCUUCAGUGGUAGAUGCAAACUUGAUUUUCAAAUCAAUACAAGCUUCUUUUCUUAAUUUUUUAAACAUACAAUUUCUUUUUAAUUGUGACCCUUAAAUCCCUUUAAGUAAUGAUGGCUUAGUAACCCUCUGCAGAAAACCCCAAAUUGUAGUUAAUACUUUUGGUUCCGGAAGUGUUCCUAAGCAUUGAAUAGUGAAUAAUUCUGGCUUUCAAGGGGUUAGGUGACAAAUUAUCCCAGUGAUGGCUGGCCUUUGGACUACCUUUUCACCAUGCUUGGCCUGCUAAUGGCUUUCUUAUACACUGAUGCCAUGUUUAAACACAAAGUAUAAAAGCUUUUACCUGGAUUGUACCCAAUAAGCUCACACGAAAACAGCACUUUACCAUGAAUUAAUAUUAACCUGUGCUCUGAUCAGCUCUACUUUGUGACAUUGUAAACCCAGAAUCUGUUAUAUGGGGAUUUGUUUUAAAACCUGUUUCACAAUAGAAUUGUUCAAGAUUUAAUAUACCUGAUAUGACUUGUUAAAAAAAAAAUAUGCCAAAACAAUACUCUGAAUCAGUUCAGUUGUACUAUUUCAUUCAUAAAUAAAACCAAUUUGAACAAUCAUGUAUUGUUCACUGGGCUACUUUGUGUUCUACUUGUUGUUAACUCAUUGAGUGCUGUCUGCUUAUGUUCCAAUUUGUAAAGCACAGAAAAAUCCUACAUUGUAUAUCUGUUUACACUUAAUAAAUGAUCCUUUGCUUUUGUAACAUAUUGGGUGUGUAUAUACAUAUUUUCUUCAUGGGUGAGUUUAAUAAAUUAAAUCUCUAUUUUUUUUUUUUUUUUUAACAUGGCAUAGUUCAAUCAGCAUGCAAACAUAAAUAAAAU
RNAcentral lists this long non-coding RNA (2624 nucleotides) under Pelobates cultripes (western spadefoot toad). The record is from RNAcentral. Lineage: Eukaryota; Metazoa; Chordata; Amphibia; Anura; Pelobatidae.